RNAcentral lists this ribosomal RNA (119 nucleotides) under Scophthalmus maximus (turbot). Lineage: Eukaryota; Metazoa; Chordata; Actinopteri; Pleuronectiformes; Scophthalmidae. The record is from RNAcentral.
GAGCACGGCCACACCGCCUGGUUCACGCCCGAUCUCGUUUGAUCUCGGAAGCUAAGAUAGGGUGGGCCUGGUUAGUACUUGGAUGGGAGACCGCCUGGGAAUACCAGGUGUUUUGUAAG